UACAUAGGGAGCAAGCGUUAUCCGGAUUUAUUGGGUGUAAAGGGUGCGUAGACGGGAAAUUAAGUUAGUUGUGAAAUCCCUCGGCUUAACUGAGGAACUGCAACUAAAACUGAUUUUCUUGAGUACUGGAGAGGAAAGUGGAAUUCCUAGUGUAGCGGUGAAAUGCGUAGAUAUUAGGAGGAACACCAGUGGCGAAGGCGACUUUCUGGGCCAAAACUGACGCUGAGACACGAAAGCGUGGGGAGCAAAUAGG
RNAcentral lists this ribosomal RNA (253 nucleotides) under uncultured Eubacteriales bacterium. Its description in RNAcentral is "uncultured Clostridiales bacterium partial 16S ribosomal RNA". It matches the Rfam family "Bacterial small subunit ribosomal RNA", at positions 524 to 776 of the family's 1533-position model. Lineage: Bacteria; Bacillati; Bacillota; Clostridia; Eubacteriales. The record is from RNAcentral.